This 1358-nucleotide ribosomal RNA is filed under the name uncultured bacterium. RNAcentral's name for it is "bacterial SSU rRNA". It matches the Rfam family "Bacterial small subunit ribosomal RNA", at positions 28 to 1381 of the family's 1533-position model. The record is from RNAcentral.
AUUGAACGCUGGCGGCAGGCCUAACACAUGCAAGUCGAGCGGAUGAGAAGAGCUUGCUCUUCGAUUCAGCGGCGGACGGGUGAGUAAUGCCUAGGAAUCUGCCUGGUAGUGGGGGACAACGUUUCGAAAGGAACGCUAAUACCGCAUACGUCCUACGGGAGAAAGCAGGGGACCUUCGGGCCUUGCGCUAUCAGAUGAGCCUAGGUCGGAUUAGCUAGUUGGUGAGGUAAUGGCUCACCAAGGCGACGAUCCGUAACUGGUCUGAGAGGAUGAUCAGUCACACUGGAACUGAGACACGGUCCAGACUCCUACGGGAGGCAGCAGUGGGGAAUAUUGGACAAUGGGCGAAAGCCUGAUCCAGCCAUGCCGCGUGUGUGAAGAAGGUCUUCGGAUUGUAAAGCACUUUAAGUUGGGAGGAAGGGCAUUAACCUAAUACGUUAGUGUUUUGACGUUACCGACAGAAUAAGCACCGGCUAACUCUGUGCCAGCAGCCGCGGUAAUACAGAGGGUGCAAGCGUUAAUCGGAAUUACUGGGCGUAAAGCGCGCGUAGGUGGUUUGUUAAGUUGGAUGUGAAAGCCCCGGGCUCAACCUGGGAACUGCAUCCAAAACUGGCAAGCUAGAGUACGGUAGAGGGUGGUGGAAUUUCCUGUGUAGCGGUGAAAUGCGUAGAUAUAGGAAGGACCCCCGUUGGCGAAGGCGACCACCUGGACUGAUACUGACACUGAGGUGCGAAAGCGUGGGGAGCAACCAGGAUUAGAUACCCUGGUAGUCCACGCCGUAAACGAUGUCAACUAGCCGUUGGAAUCCUUGAGAUUUUAGUGGCGCAGCUAACGCAUUAAGUUGACCGCCUGGGGAGUACGGCCGCAAGGUUAAAACUCAAAUGAAUUGACGGGGGCCCGCACAAGCGGUGGAGCAUGUGGUUUAAUUCGAAGCAACGCGAAGAACCUUACCAGGCCUUGACAUGCAGAGAACUUUCCAGAGAUGGAUUGGUGCCUUCGGGAACUCUGACACAGGUGCUGCAUGGCUGUCGUCAGCUCGUGUCGUGAGAUGUUGGGUUAAGUCCCGUAACGAGCGCAACCCUUGUCCUUAGUUACCAGCACGUAAUGGUGGGCACUCUAAGGAGACUGCCGGUGACAAACCGGAGGAAGGUGGGGAUGACGUCAAGUCAUCAUGGCCCUUACGGCCUGGGCUACACACGUGCUACAAUGGUCGGUACAGAGGGUUGCCAAGCCGCGAGGUGGAGCUAAUCUCACAAAACCGAUCGUAGUCCGGAUCGCAGUCUGCAACUCGACUGCGUGAAGUCGGAAUCGUUAGUAAUCGCGAAUCAGAAUGUCGCGGUGAAUACGUUCCCGGGCCU